Molecule: transfer RNA, 71 nt
Filed under: Loxodonta africana (African savanna elephant)
Lineage: Eukaryota; Metazoa; Chordata; Mammalia; Proboscidea; Elephantidae
Rfam family: tRNA
About the family: Transfer RNA (tRNA) molecules are approximately 80 nucleotides in length. Their secondary structure includes four short double-helical elements and three loops (D, anti-codon, and T loops).
Source: Rfam by way of RNAcentral
GCAUUGGUGGUUCAGUGGUAGAAUUCUCACCUUCCACGUGAGGGACCAUGAUUCAGUUCCUGGCCAAGGCA